This 253-nucleotide ribosomal RNA is filed under the name uncultured bacterium. RNAcentral describes it as "partial 16S ribosomal RNA". It matches the Rfam family "Bacterial small subunit ribosomal RNA", at positions 524 to 776 of the family's 1533-position model. The record is from RNAcentral.
AACGUAGGAGACAAACGUUAUCCGGAGUUACUGGGCGUAAAGGGCGUGUAGGUGGUAUCGUAAGUCUGGCGUGAAAUUUCUCGGCUUAACCGAGGCAGGUCGUCGGAUACUGCGAGGCUAGAGGACGGUAGAGGCGUGUGGAAUUCCGGGUGUAGUGGUGAAAUGCGUAGAGAUCCGGAGGAACACCAGUGGCGAAGGCGACACGCUGGGCCGUACCUGACACUGAUGCGCGACAGCAUGGGGAGCAAACAGG